CCUACGGGAGGCAGCAGUGGGGAAUUUUGGACAAUGGGCGCAAGCCUGAUCCAGCCAUGCCGCGUGCAGGAUGAAGGCCUUCGGGUUGUAAACUGCUUUUUGUACGGAACGAAAAGACUCUGGUUAAUACCUGGGGUUCAUGACGGUACCGUAAGAAUAAGCACCGGCUAACUACGUGCCAGCAGCCGCGGUAAUACGUAGGGUGCGAGCGUUAAUCGGAAUUACUGGGCGUAAAGCGUGCGCAGGCGGUUAUAUAAGACAGAUGUGAAAUCCCCGGGCUCAACCUGGGAACUGCAUUUGUGACUGUAUAGCUAGAGUACGGUAGAGGGGGAUGGAAUUCCGCGUGUAGCAGUGAAAUGCGUAGAUAUGCGGAGGAACACCGAUGGCGAAGGCAAUCCCCUGGACCCUGUACUGACGCUCAUGCACGAAAGCGUGGGGAGCAAACAGGAUUAGAUACCCUGGUAGUCCAGCCCUAAACGAUGUCAACUGGUUNUUGGGUCUUUCAACUUNUACUCAGUAACGAAGACGACGACGUAGAGUAGACCGCCGNGGGAGGUAACGGUCCGCGAGUUAGUAAACGUUACGAAAUAGAGUUGAGGCGUUGAGACGAGCCGACGGACGACGACGAGGGAGGAGG
RNAcentral lists this ribosomal RNA (637 nucleotides) under uncultured bacterium. Its description in RNAcentral is "bacterial SSU rRNA". The stretch from base 1 to 548 matches the Rfam family "Bacterial small subunit ribosomal RNA", at positions 338 to 873 of the family's 1533-position model. The record is from RNAcentral.